RNAcentral lists this long non-coding RNA (4437 nucleotides) under Homo sapiens (human). RNAcentral's name for it is "HSALNT0389011". The record is from RNAcentral. Lineage: Eukaryota; Metazoa; Chordata; Mammalia; Primates; Hominidae.
GAGACAGGGUCUCGCUUUGUCUGGAGUCCAGGCUGGAGUGCAGUGGCGCGGUCAUGGCUCGCUGCGGCCUUGACCUCCUGGGCUCAGGAGAUCCUUCUGCCUCAGCCUCUCGUUGGGACCACAGGCACACACCACGACACCUGGAAUCCCAGCACUUUGGGAGGCCGAGUGACUUCCUGUGUUGAAAAAUUUUUUGUAGGCUGGGCGUGGUGGCUCAUGUCUGUAAUCCCAGCACUGUGGGAGACCAAGGUGGGCAGACUGGAGAUCGAGACCAUCCCGGCCAACAUGGUGAAACCCCGUCUCUACUAAAAAUAACAAAAAAGUUAGCUGGGUGCUGUGGCGCACGCCUGCAGUCCCAGCUACUCGGGAAGCUGAGGCAGGAGAAUCGCUUGAACCCAGGAGGCGGAGGUUGCAGUGAGCCGAGAUCGCACCACUGCACUCCAGCCUGGACAACACAGCGAGAAUCUGUCUCAAAAAAAAAAAAAAAAUUGUGGAGACAGGGUCUCACUAUGUUGCGUAGGCUAGUCUUGAACUCCUGGGCUCAAGCGAUCCUUCGGCUGUGGCCUCCCAAAGUGCUGGGAUUAUAGGAGUGAGCCACCAUGCCUGGACACAGUGUGUCUGAUUUUUUUUUUUCCUACUAAUUUUUUUUUUUAAAGAAGUGAGAUGAGGGAGGAGCGGCAUGAGCCACCGCGCCUGGCCCUAUUAACCAUUUUUAAGUCUACAAGUCGGUGACAUUUAGCACAUUUACAAUGUUGUGUGUCCUCCACCUCUCUAGUUCAAAACUUUUUUGCACCACAGAGGAAUGCGUCGUUAACAGAUCACUGCCUGUUGCUCUCUCUCCUGUCCCUUGGUGACUUGAAUCUACCUUCUGUCUCUGUGGGUUCUCCUUUCCUGGAUAUUUCAUAUGUGUGGAAUCAUAUAACAUGUGGCCCUUCGUGUCUGGCUUCUUUCCGCAAGCAUGCAUUUGUGAUUCAUCUGAGUUGUAUUAUGGAUUAGUAUUUCAUUCCUUUGUAUGGCUCAGUCAUGUUCCAUUGUUUAUGUAGACCACAUUCUUCAUCCGUUCAUCUGCUGAUGGACGUGUGGGUUGUUCCCAUCGUCUUGGUGCUUAGGAAUAGUGCCACUGUGGACAUUGUGUGUAAUUCUAGGGGGACAUGUUUUCAUUUCUCUUGGAUGUAUACCUAGAAGUGAGCUGGCAGGGUCAUCAGGUCACUGCUUAACUUAUGUGAAACACCAUCUUUUUUUUGUGGCUGCACCAUUUUAAUUCUCACCAGUGAUGGACAAGCUUUCCAGUUUGUUCACAUCCUUGCCAACACUUUUAUUUUUUAAUACCCAUAAUAGUGUGAAAUGGUAUCUCAUUGUGGCUUUGAUUUUCAUUUUCUUAAUGACCAGUGAUGUUGAAUAUUUGUUCAUGUGCUUGUUGGGCCAUUUGUAUAUGUUUGGAGAAAUAUCAGUUCAUGUCCAUUGCUUUUUUUAAAUUGGGUUGUUUGGUUUUUGUUGUUGUUCUUUAUAUAUACACAUGCACAGUAUACAGUGUGUGCGUGUGUUGGGGUGUGUGUGUAUAUUCUGGAUACUGGACUCUGAGCAGAUGUAUGAUUUGCAAAUGUUUUCUCCCAUUUUGUAGGUUCUUUUUAGUUUCUUGAUAGUGUCCUUUGAAGCACAGGAUCAGACGUUUUUAAUUCUGAUGAAGUCCAGUUUCUUUUUUCUUUUCAAGACACUAUCUCCCUCUGUCACCCAGGCUGGAGUGCAGUGGCACAAUCACAGCUCACUGCAGCCUCAACCUCCCAAGCUGAAGUGAUCCUCCCAACCUCAGCCUCCUGAGUGGCUGGGACCACAGGUACGCGCCACCACGCUUGGCUGAUUUUUUGUACUUUGUGUAGAGAUGGGGUUUUACCAUGUUUCCAAGGCUUAUCUUGAACUCUGGGCUCAAGUGAUCCUCCCAUCUCUGCCUCCCAAAGUGCUGGGAUUCCAGGUGUGAGCUGCUGCUGCCCAGCCUGGUUUUAUUUUUUCAAAUCCGAGGUCAUGAAGACUUGCCCUUAAGUUUUCUUCUACGAGUUUUAUAUUUCUGGUUCUCAUAUUUAGGUCUCUGAUCCAUUCGAGUUAAUUUUUUGUAUACAGUAUGAGGUAAGGAUUUGUAGGUGAAUAUUCAGUUGUCCCAGCAGCAUUUGUUACAGAGAUACCCUAUCCCCUCAAAUGGUCCUGAUGCCUUGUGGAUGUCGGUUGGUUUUAUGCAGUGGGAGCGUUGCAGUGUGAAGGCGUCUUAAAGAAGGCCUAAAUCUAGAAGGAUUUACAUAGGCACUGGAAUGGUGAUCCGUCUUCCCAGGCUAGAGUUUUUGUUGUCAGCUACAUGUGUGGGCUGUUUUUCACGGGAUAUCUUGGCCUUACUGUAAAUUCUCAUCACCCUUAUUGUAAACUUGUCUCUGUCAGGAUUUCUCUGUGACGUCCAUGUGCUGGGGCUGUACUGCUGAUGAACAGGAAGUGGCAAAGGUUGAUGGCUGAGCUCUGCGACAGCUCCCACCAGGAUUUUAACAUCGUUGUUGGCAUUUUGUGAAUUUUUUGAGUAGGGCAGAAGGUAGCCCUGGGAAUCUUAAACUGCUGUUUUGAGUUUCAACAGAUCUGCUUUGGAAGACUUCAAAGAUUUACCACAAUAUAAGUCGUAGUAGCUUAAGACCUGAAAUAGAAUAAAACUGUGGUGUUCCAAGACUUCCCUGUUUAUCCGGGGAUGCACUUAAGUUAUAUACUAACCUAAUCAUCACACAGCUCUGGGAAGCACUAGUACCGUUGCUAUCAGCAUCUUACCGCAGGGGAAACUGAGGCUCAGAGGUGUGGAGUAAUUGAUGAAAGGUGCACAGCUGGCAGGUGGCAUAGUGAGGGCUGGUGCCAGUUACUCUCAAUCCAUGGUCUUUCCUCUGUGCUUCGCUGCCUCCCGGGUGUCUGACAUCACGUGGAUUUAAGCCCCACUCUCCCAAUUUUUUUUUUUUUUUUUUUUUUGAGACAUAGUCUGGCACUCUCGCCCAGGCUGGAGUGCAGUGGUGCAGUCUUGGCUCACUGCAGCCUCUGCCUUCCGGGCUCAAGCCAUCCUUCCACCUAAGCCUCUUGAGUAGCUGGGACCUUAGACACACACCACCACACCCGGCUAAUUUUUGUAGAGAUGGGGGUUCACCAUGUUGCCUAGGCUGGUCCUGGAACUCCUGAGCUCAAGUGAUCCACUCACCUCAGCCUCCCAAAGUGCUGGGAUUACAGGUGUGAGCCACCACGCCGGGUUUCUCUCCCAGUUUUUUAAAAAAUAUUUUAACUUUUAUUUUAGUUUCAACGGUACAUGUGCAGGUUUGUUAUAUAAACGUAUUAUUCAGUGGUUUGGUGUACAGUUUAUUCCCUCACCUGGGUAUGUACUGUAGUACCUGACAAUUUUUUUUGUUUGUUUUUCCUGAUCCUCUCCCUUCUCCCACUCUCCACCCUCAAGUAGGCCGCAGUGUCUGUUGUUCUCCUCUUGUGUCCAUGUGUUCUAAUGGUUUAGCUCCCACUUAUAAGUGAGAACAUGUGGUAUUUGGUUUUUCUGUUCCUAUGUUAGUUUUCUAAGGAUAAUGACCUCCAGCUCCAUCCAUGUUCCUGCAAACGACAUGAUCUCAUUUCAUUUUAUGUAUACAUGGUAUCCCAUGGUAUAUAUGUACAUUUUCUUUAUCCAGUCCACCAUUGGUGAGCAUUUAGGUUGAUCUCAUGUCUUUGCUAUUGUGAAUAGUGCUGCGAUGAACACACGCAUGCAUGUGUCUUUAUGGUAGAGCCAUUUACCUUCCUUUGGGUAGGUAAUCCUGGUUCAUUUGGUUUUUUUUUUUUUUUGAGACGGAGUCUCGCUCUGUUGCCCAGGCUGGAGUGCAGUGGUGAGAUCUCAGCUCAUAGCAAGCUCCGCCUCCCAGGUUCACGCCAUUCUCCUGCCUCAGCCUCCUGAGUAGCUGGGACUAUAGGUGCCUGCCACCAUGCCUGGCUAAUUUUUUGUACUUUUAGUAGAGACGGGGUUUCACCAUGUUAGCCAGGAUGGUCUCAAUCUCCUGACCUCGUGAUCUGCCUGCCUCGGCCUCCCAAAGUGCUGGGAUUACAGGCGUGAACCACCACACCCGGUUAACCCCAGUUGUUUAUAAAUUGUUGAAUGGAGAGAGUACCUUUUUUCAGGCACUCAGAGGACUUUAUCUUACUUACUUUUAUGAUAAAAUAAUUAAGAGCCCAAACUAUUAGUCCUAUUUUAUUUUAUUUUAUUUUUUUGACUUUUUACAAAUUAUUACUUUUAACAAAGAAAGCAAAAGUGGAUCUUAUUUCCAUAAAAUAAAGGUUUAUGUUGACAAUUAAAAACUGGACAUGCACACGAUUAGAAAGUUCAAACGACACGAAAAUGUAUACUUCUCCCCAAAGGAAACGACUGUGAACAGUUUCUUGUGACUGUUUUAG